Alosa sapidissima (American shad) is the source of this 1616-nucleotide long non-coding RNA. RefSeq lists it as uncharacterized. The transcript is spliced from 2 exons. The record is from RefSeq and is a predicted model, not a curated record. Lineage: Eukaryota; Metazoa; Chordata; Actinopteri; Clupeiformes; Clupeidae.
UUAGAGGAGGGGCAAAAGCUUUGCUCAUCGAUUGUACUACGGCUUGCCCCUCUCUCUUUUUUCCAAGUCCAAGCUUUUUCUGACCUUAAAAUCUAAACAGGCCAUCAGUCCCUUUUGCUAUUUAGUUUCAUCAAUAAUAGGCUAAUAUAGAUUGUUAUGCGCAUGACAUCACCGUAUCGAUACGUUUUCUCACAAAUGGUAACAUUUAUGGCUCCGAUAUUUUGUUGUCGAAAUUCACCAUGCACGAAUGGGAUGCGCUUGGCACACUGGCGAGGGAAUGAAAUGGACGGAGCAAUAAGGUCAACAGUCUACCCAACAGACAAACAAGACACAAGGCUUUCCGAAGCAGUGAGAGAAGUUAUAACGAUAUCAUAAACGAUGCAGUGUAACAACAAUUAUGUUUGUGACACAAGGGGGUGGGGAGCCCUACAAGAAAAAGUAGAACUGAAGGGUUGACAAACGGCUCUGCGGACAUUAACAUGCAAUAGAGCAAGAGAGGGGAACUCCACUGUUGAGCAGAGAGGUAUGGCAGUCUCUCCCGGGCUGGUCAGCGCUGCAUUCUGCGUAUUGAGAGAGAGAGAGGCUGGCUAAGCAUUUCAAGACUGAUACUUUAUUAUUAAAUCAACACUUCAAAAUACUCGCCUGGGCUGAGGCUUCUAGCCUAACCUAACGCUAGAAUCAUCACCGGACAAAUAUGUCGUGUGUUCUCCACACCAGCUCGCAUGAACGAGUUGGUCAGGCUGCAAGAAAGAGAAGGGAGCUCUACCAUUCCCUUGAAAUCUGUAAUGGUCUAUCUGUGGCUUGAAGCAUGCCAGACGAUAUCAAAUCGCGGCCCUGUAGUGACACCUAGCGGAACCUUCCCCACACCAACAGUUAAUUCACAAAAGUUGCGCUACUUCUAAUUAUAUGAUGGCGUUAUAGCUCUUCUAAACUCUGUACCUUAGUAAAUGUGUAUUAAUUGUAUUGAUUUAUACGGAGAAUUAACGAAAAAAUAAUGAAAAAGUCCAUAAUUCAAAUACACUUUUAGUGUUUUAUUUAGAUAUCCUUACCAGUUUAAAACUGAUAAUCUCCCAAAUAUUUUAGAUGUUUUAGAAAAAUUACUUGUGUAUUUGUGUAGGCUACUCUUAUGAAAGUCUUUGAGUAUCAUCCGUUUUUACGGACUGUAUCAGACAAACAUUUUAGUUGGACGGAAAUAUUACCUACCAUUUUUUGCAUUUAACCCAAAACGUGGUAUUAAAAUGGGUUGAUCUAGUGACGGCGUUGAUGGUAUUAUUAUUAUUAUUAUUAUUAUUAUUAUUAUUAUUAGUGGUUGUUUUAUGCUAUAUUGUCUCGUGUGCUUCUCUAAAUGUGCGUGUAGUAGGCUAAGAACACUUUACCUUACUGCAUAUUAUUUAAAUGACAUGGGUGACGCACAAAUGUUUUAACACAUUUAACACAAACACAACAUUUUAUAUGAUUAAUUUAUUAGUUGUGUUUUUAAAUUGAUUUUAAUUUUUACCAUAUCAUUUUAAUCAAACACCACGCUGGCUCAACACCAAUUCUUUAAAAUUGCAUUCUGCAUAAAACAAAUAUUAGAUUUGGCAAACGUGGAAAAAACUGAGCGUCCGAUAUAGGCU